AAGUCGUAACAAGGUUUCCGUAGGUGAACCUGCGGAAGGAUCAUUAAUGAGAUCAUGCCCCUCGGGGUAGACCUCCCACCCUUUGUUUACAAUACCUUUGUUGCUUUGGCGGCCCCGUCGCAAGACAACCGGCUCCGGCUGGUCAGCGGCCGCCAGAGGACCCAAAACUCAUAUUAUCAUUGUCGUCUGAGUACUAUAUAAUAGUUAAAACUUUCAACAACGGAUCUCUUGGUUCUG
This 237-nucleotide unclassified non-coding RNA is filed under the name Allantophomopsis sp. RNAcentral's name for it is "partial contains small subunit ribosomal RNA, internal transcribed spacer 1, and 5.8S ribosomal RNA". The stretch from base 1 to 46 matches the Rfam family "Eukaryotic small subunit ribosomal RNA", at positions 1786 to 1831 of the family's 1831-position model. Lineage: Eukaryota; Fungi; Ascomycota; Leotiomycetes; Phacidiales; Phacidiaceae. The record is from RNAcentral.